GACGAACGCUGGCGGCGUGCUUAACACAUGCAAGUCGAACGGAAAGGCCCUGCUUUUGUGGGGUGCUCGAGUGGCGAACGGGUGAGUAACACGUGAGUAACCUGCCCUUGACUUUGGGAUAACUUCAGGAAACUGGGGCUAAUACCGGAUAGGAGCUCCUGCUGCAUGGUGGGGGUUGGAAAGUUUCGGCGGUUGGGGAUGGACUCGCGGCUUAUCAGCUUGUUGGUGGGGUAGUGGCUUACCAAGGCUUUGACGGGUAGCCGGCCUGUGAGGGUGACCGGCCACAUGGGGACUGAGAUACGGCCCAGACUCCUACGGGAGGCAGCAGUGGGGAAUAUUGCACAAUGGGCGGAAGCCUGAUGCAGCAACGCCGCGGUCGGGAUGACGGCCUUCGGGUUGUAAACCGCUUUCGCCUGUGACGAAGCGUGAGUGACGGUAAUGGGUAAAGAAGCACCGGCUAACUACGUG
Molecule: ribosomal RNA, 468 nt
Filed under: uncultured bacterium
Lineage: Bacteria
Description: partial 16S ribosomal RNA
Rfam family: Bacterial small subunit ribosomal RNA
Source: RNAcentral